Molecule: long non-coding RNA, 1219 nt
Organism: Tachysurus fulvidraco (yellow catfish)
Lineage: Eukaryota; Metazoa; Chordata; Actinopteri; Siluriformes; Bagridae
Exons: 3
Source: RefSeq, a predicted model, not a curated record
CAAUCCGCUGUUCCUUCACAUGGGUUGUAAAAUUUAAAACUGAAAACAUGUCAUCAUUUGUUUGGAUUGCAUCCAUGGAUUUUGUGGCACUGAGCGCAGAGAAAAGUGAAGCUGUGGGAGUUCAGAUCUAAGACGAGCUUCAGAUUGCAAUGCAGAAUGGGAUGGAAUUGCAAGACACCAUACAGGCUCAAUUUCAUGACAGAGCCUUCAGCCCUUGUGUGUUCAACCUCCAGACUUCUCCGUGUUUGUGAGACAUCUAACGCUGUAAAUAUUUGGGUUCCAUCAGCUGAGAAUGACCACAAGACAUUUAUGAGCGACUACUCGUCGAAAUGUGGCAGAAGAAAAUCGGACAGACGGAUGAAGCCGCAUUUUGUUUUACUUUGCAAAAAUGCAGUUGGAGCCCAUGUGGAUGACCUAAUGUGACAGGAAUUUUUACAGCUGGACUUUCGUGGAAUUCGAAGGACACAUGCAGGAAAGACGCCAGAGUGCUGUACAGUGUAUCAGAGCUCUCGCUAUGCUGUGAGUCUUUCUUCCCUUGGAGGAGCAGAGAGAGAGAGAGAGAGAGAGAGAGAGAGAGAGAGAGAGAGAGAGAGAGAGAGAGAGAGAGAGAGAGAGAGAGAGAGAGAUCUACUGGAAAACCCUGAUGAGUCAACAUCCUGACCUCUGUAUAUUAAAAAACACCUUGCUGAACAGAUCAGCGAUGCAGUCGAAGAGCCAAGCUGUUUAAACACACACACACACACACACACACACACACACACACACACACACACACACACACACACACACACACACACACACACACACACACACACACACACACACACACACACACAGAGACAGACAGAACCUGUCAUGACAGUGCUGUUCCACUUUCUCUGAUGUUUUAGGAAAACACCGAAAAGCACCAGUAAUAAAUUCUGUCAAAAUUCAUACUGUACACAGCCUGAAACUAGAUAUAAUAAGCCUGACUUUUAAAAUGGAAAUCUGUAGAUAUGUCAAAACAUAACACCUCUAUUACGUUCUAUAGUCCUGCUCUUAUUGGUCAGAGGGUUGCUGAUUCAUAUACUAUACACAGCUCUGACAAUAACACCAGCAGUAUCAUUCAAAUCAGGUUUCUAUUCAUGCACUUGUGAUACCUUAUUGUUUCUAUAGUAACAGGUCAUUUAAAAACACUUGUACGGUGGAAGCGUGAUGUGAUUUAUGUAGGAACUAUAAA